UACGGCGGCCACAGCGACAGGGAAACGCCCGGUCCCAUUCCGAACCCGGAAGCUAAGCCUGUCAGCGCCGAUGAUACUGCGCUUAUCGCGUGGAAAAGUAGGACACCGCCGAAC
Mycobacterium intermedium is the source of this 114-nucleotide ribosomal RNA. Lineage: Bacteria; Bacillati; Actinomycetota; Actinomycetes; Mycobacteriales; Mycobacteriaceae. The record is from Rfam.